Molecule: ribosomal RNA, 547 nt
Filed under: uncultured bacterium
Lineage: Bacteria
Description: bacterial SSU rRNA
Rfam family: Bacterial small subunit ribosomal RNA
Source: RNAcentral
UGGGGAAUAUUGCGCAAUGGGGGGAACCCCGACGCAGCCAUGCCGCGUGAAUGAAGAAGGCCUUCGGGUUGUAAAGUUCUUUCGGUAUUGAGGAAGGUUGAUGUGUUAAUAGCACAUCAAAUUGACGUUAAAUACAGAAGAAGCACCGGCUAACUCCGUGCCAGCAGCCGCGGUAAUACGGAGGGUGCGAGCGUUAAUCGGAAUAACUGGGCGUAAAGGGCACGCAGGCGGUUAUUUAAGUGGGGUGUGAAAGCCCCGGGCUUAACCUGGGAAUUGCAUUUCAGACUGGGUAACUAGAGUACUUUAGGGAGGGGUAGAAUUCCACGUGUAGCGGUGAAAUGCGUAGAGAUGUGGAGGAAUACCGAAGGCGAAGGUAGCCCCUUGGGAAUGUACUGACGCUCAUGUGCGAAAGCGUGGGGAGCAAACAGGAUUAGAUACCCUGGUAGUCCACGCUGUAAACGCUGUCGAUUUGGGGGUUGGGGUUUAACUCUGGCGCCCGUAGCUAACGUGAUAAAUCGACCGCCUGGGGAGUACGGCCGCAAGGUUA